UAUAUAAAAAUACAUAUAAAGUGAAGUUUUUCCGUUGUUCAGUGCGAACACGGAAAUAACAAAGAUGAAUAAAUAUUAAAAUGCAAACAACCCAAAAAGUUCAGGGCGAACUUAGUGCUAUGUUCAAAAAGUGAAUGGUAAAUCAUCUCUACAAUUAUUUUGUGAUGAAAGCCAAAUCAUUUAAAAAUAAAAAUAAAAAAUUAAAAACAAGGGUGCAGUAAUUUAACAUCUCUACAGCUACGGUUGUGAUGGUAAAUUAAAUGAGAGCAUUAAAAAAUAUACAAAUAUACAAAAAAUAAAAACAAGUAUACAAGAAAUAAAAAUUAAACAAAGGUGCGGUAAUUUAACAUCUCUACAGCUACGGUUGUGAUGGUAAAUUAAAUAAGAGCAUUAAGAAUAAACAAAUAUAUAAGAAAAUCCGAUAUCUGGAAUCUAUUAAAGAAGUUCUCUUUAUAGGUGAAAUUCGACCCUCACACUGUCCGACUACCCUACGUCGAGGAAAUAUACACACACACCAACAUAACACUCACACGAUUGCAAAGAAUCUUCACCUCCACACCACCAAUCACCAAAUACGAUAUAAGUAAACCUUAAUACGUAAGCGAUAAAUUAAUUUCUAAGAAAUUACCGAAAUAAGAAAGUAAAGAGUAGAUGUCGAAACUCAAUAAAGUAAAAAA
This is a non-coding RNA of Drosophila suzukii, 677 nucleotides long. The record is from RefSeq and is a predicted model, not a curated record. Lineage: Eukaryota; Metazoa; Arthropoda; Insecta; Diptera; Drosophilidae.